RNAcentral lists this ribosomal RNA (442 nucleotides) under uncultured bacterium. RNAcentral describes it as "partial 16S ribosomal RNA". It matches the Rfam family "Bacterial small subunit ribosomal RNA", at positions 338 to 795 of the family's 1533-position model. The record is from RNAcentral.
CCUACGGGGGACAGCAGUAGGGAAUCUUUCACAAUGGGCGAAAGCCUGAUGGAGCAACGCCGCGUGCAGGAUGAAGGCCUUCGGGUUGUAAACUGCUUUUAUAAGCGAGAAAUAUGAUGUUAAGUUAUGACUAAGGAUCGGCUAACUACGUGCGAGCAGCCGCGGUCAUACGUAGGAUGCGAGCAUUAUCCGGAGUGACUGAGUGUAAAGAGUUGGGUAGGUGGGAUAAUAAGUAGCUAGUGAAAUCUGGUGGCUCAACCAUUCAGACUAUUAGCUAAACUGUUAAGCUCGAGACCGUUCGAGGUAACUGGAAUUUCUAGGGUAGGAGUGAAAUCCGUAGAUAUAAGAAAGAACACCAAUAGCGUAGGCAGGUUACUGGGACGGUUCUGACGCUAAGGCACGAAAGCGUAGGGAGCAAACAGGAUUAGAUACCCGGGUAGUC